Molecule: ribosomal RNA, 460 nt
Filed under: uncultured bacterium
Lineage: Bacteria
Description: partial 16S ribosomal RNA
Rfam family: Bacterial small subunit ribosomal RNA
Source: RNAcentral
CCUACGGGGGGCAGCAGUGAGGAAUAUUGGUCAAUGGGCGCAAGCCUGAACCAGCCAAGUCGCGUGAGGGAUGACGGUCCUAUGGAUUGUAAACCUCUUUUGUCGGGGAGCAAGGCCCGCCACGUGUGGCGGGAAGGAGAGUACCCGAAGAAAAAGCAUCGGCUAACUCCGUCCCAGCAGCCGCGGUAAUACGGAGGUUGCGAGGGGUACCCGGAUUUAUUGGGUUUAAAGGGUGCGUAGGCGGAGGGUUAAGGCAGCGGGCAAAUGUCGGUGCUAAACCACGGACUGCCGUUGAAACUGGUCGUCGUGAGUGGGCGAGAAGUAUGCGGAAUGCGUGGUGUAGCGGUGAAAUGCAUAGAUAUCACGCAGAACGCCGAUUGCGAAGGCAGCAUACCGGCGCUCAACUGACGCUGAGGCACAAAAGCGUGGGGAGCGAACAGGAUUAGAUACCCCAGUAGUC